CACGACAGAAGCCUUUCUGUUGUGAUAUAUGUGAACACAAAUUUGACAAAAAAUCUGCUUUAAACAGACACAUGAAGAACCAUGCAAUGCAAGACAAGGCAACUUUAUUUGUAUAGCACGUUUCAGAACAAGAACACUCAGUCAAUCCUGAGCAAAUGUGUUUAUAAUCUUGAUUUAAAAUAACUCAGGCUUUCAAGUACUUUACAGUCUUCUAGAAGUUUGUUCCAGUUGGUAGAAUAUAGGAAGUCAACUUGCUACAAGUUGGAAAGUGCUUUGGGUUCCUUGGACUAAUUAAAGUGCUAUACAAGUACAUAAGACAUUUACCAGAUUAGGUUUGAAUCAGAAGACCUGAGUGGUCUGGAGGGUUGAUACACUGAUAAUCUUUGAUGUAUUUAGGUGUUAAUGUUAGGGGAUUUUAUAGAUUAACUCAAGUAUUUUAAAGUCAAUUGUCUGAGAUUGAUGUUCUCUACUUUUGUCUUAGUGAAGACGUGGUCAGCAGUGUUCUGGAUCAACUGCAGCUGUCUGAUUCACUUUUUGGUGGACCUGUGAAAACACUGUUUCAGUUUAACUGGCAUCUCACCACAAAGCACCCAGUUUAAAGAUAAAACCAAAUCUGUUCUGAACACAGCUAUCACUGCAGUUAACUUUGUAAAAAUCCAGAGCUUUGCAAUCACGGCUGUUUGGUCAACUUUGUCCAAAUCUGGAAGCUGAACAUGUGUUGCUUUAUCACCGAGGUGUGAUGGCUGUCUCAUCGGGAAAGUGUUUCAGAGUUUUUGAGCUACGCAGAAAAACGGCUAAAUGUAUGAGAGGAAAAACUGUGAGGGAUGUUGUGACUUCACACCUAACAUCACUGUGUGAGCACUUCAGCUCAUAUUUCUCUGAUGUGAACACUGAUGCCUGGGACUGGGUGCUGAUCCAUUUUCACCUGCUGCAACAAGAAAUGCCUUAGCAGGUAAAACAGAAAAAAUGCUCUUGGAGUUAUCUUGUGACAGAACAUUGAAGGCCAGAUUCCAACAGGAAAAUCAUGCAAACUUUUGGGCCUCCCUCUCACAUGAGUAUCCUGAACUGGCUGCUGAGGCCAUGAAAAUAUUGCUGCCGUUUUUGACCACUUUCCUCUGUGAAUCAACAUUUUCAACUCUGACUUUAAUGAAGAACAAAUGCAGAGCUUGUCUACAAGUGAAAGAUGAUCUUAGAGUUUGUUUGUCAUCCAUGCCUCCAAGAAUAAACUGUGUGGGGAGAGACAGGCUCAUCCUUCUCACUAAUAGUUAAGAAGUCAUUGAUGUCACUGAUGAAUGGUUUGACUGCUUGUAACAAAGCCUAAAGCAGAUAUUAAUAGAAAUGUUUCUUUGUUUGUUUUUUUUGCCAAUACAUAUAAGAUGUUUGUUGUGGCUUUAAUUUGAGUAAUGGACCAAAUAGGGUUCACUGGAAUUUCUUGUAGUCUUCUCAUGUUUUUUGAAGCUUUAAAUUGUUAUAUUUGAAGAAAACAUCUAGUGAAAAUUUAACUUGAAAAAAUGUCCUUUGCAUUGUAAAUGUUAAAAUCGUUUUCAUUCCUUUAGCAUAUUAGUGAUCGACUGAUACGUGUUUUUGAAGGCAGAUGCCAAUUAUUUUGACAUCAGUCUACCCUCUAUGUGCUGCCUAUUUUUUGGGCCUAUUCUUGCAGAUGAUGUUGCCUUUUAUUUCCUUAUAUGAUAAAAAUGACACAUUUAUAACAAAUAUUGCACAACUCGUAAUUUUAACAAAAAAGAAACAUUAGCGAAUUCAACAAAACAUUAACAAUUGAUAGCAAAUGCCCAAAACCCUGCCUUAGUGGUUUCCUCAGGGCGCUGCCUUUAACUCAGUGGAAAGAUAGGAACCACAUUUGGGGAGGGGGAGGAGAAAAAGGCAUAUUUCACACUUUAUCCUUAAAGGGUACAGUUUGAGAUAUCAAAAAACCUCCACAUGAGAGAAGCACAUAUGACGAGACAACAUUUAUGCAGAGGGUUUAAAUUGGAGACUAGUCGCAUGUAAACCCAUAUAGAUUAUGGCCGUCAGUUGUGUGUGUGUGUGUGUGUGUGUGUGUGUGUGAAUGUUCUUCAGUUUGUUCAUGAAUGCUGUCCAGAGGGCCAUUGUCCUUGAUAUGAUGGAAAGUUUAUCAACCGGCGCCGCUGUUCUGAACGCAUCCACAGAUGUCCGCAGGGGAGGAGGGAGAGGGGGGAGUAGUUCUGGGCCCUCUCGCCAUAACAUCCAGGGGAGUUUUAGAUGAGGGGAAGCCUAGUCCAAAUACACUUUUGUUUUGAGAAGCAAGCUGCACACAUUUUCCUCAGCUUUGAGCCCUUUGUCCUUGGCUCCACGUGGCGAAUCCGAUAUUUCAAAUUAGUUGGGCUUUUUCCGCGUUUCACAUCCCUUAUUUAUCCCAUCUAUCCUCUGAGUUCAACCAACGUAGCCGGCCUCCGUUCCAUCACAUCUAGCUUACGGCUCUGCUCGUCCAACUUACAGUUCUACUCGUUCACAGCCUUAGUAAUGGCAUCAAAAGCGGCCAUAUUUGCCACGGACAUCCUCUGAAGUUGCUGAUACAUCAGAAAUCUUCCGAAUCCAAAUAGAAGAAAUCCGAGUAUCAUGAAUCCAAACAUGUCAAUAAUAUUACCAGAUGUAAUGAAAUACAAUGUAUACGUAUGUGUUGGCCACACCUGCAACCACACAGUCAGUAACCCCACAAACAACCACUUCUUCAUUUUAAGUUUUCACACACAUACACUGCAGUAUAAAUACAUCGGUUUGUUUUUUAUUGUGACAAUAUUGAAAGUUUUAGUUCCAAUUGUAGCGCGCACAUUUGGUCAACUUUUGUAGAUUUAAUUUAGUCAGAUACUUACCAUUGGUUUGUGUUUCCUGUUCUGGUGUUGUGGGGAGUACCUCAUCUGGGCUGAAGCGGAGGACUCUGGCUGGAACACUCCAGUCCCAGAUUGACUGACUGACUGGGUGGUACCAUCUGGAGUUCCUCUAGGGGGAACGACCAUGGAGUCCUUAUUCUAACUCUUUUGUAUAAUCUUUUUUUUUGUGAUUUGUCUGUGUUGUUAAUUGUGUUUAGUUAUUAGUCAUUUAAGUUUAAUCCUUAAGCUAACAUUAAUUAUUUUUGUUAAGUUUGUGUAGAUGUUCCCUUUUCCUCAGUGGGUCAGUCUGGUCUGAUCAGGCAGUAUUUAAGCCCCCUUUGUUGUGUGUCAGGUCAGUUUGUUCGUUUGAGGUUUAGUUUAACUUUGACAAUUUUUUGCCUUAAAUUAGUUUCUUCAUUUGACCUCUUUUAAGGGCCCUGUAAUUAUUGUUUCGACUUUUGUUACUUUGGGGAAAUAAAACCCAUUUUUCUUGGAAAAUCA
Molecule: long non-coding RNA, 3347 nt
Organism: Fundulus heteroclitus (mummichog)
Lineage: Eukaryota; Metazoa; Chordata; Actinopteri; Cyprinodontiformes; Fundulidae
Exons: 2
Source: RefSeq, a predicted model, not a curated record